This 201-nucleotide ribosomal RNA is filed under the name uncultured bacterium. RNAcentral describes it as "partial 16S ribosomal RNA". It matches the Rfam family "Bacterial small subunit ribosomal RNA", at positions 524 to 724 of the family's 1533-position model. The record is from RNAcentral.
UACGUAGGGGGCAAGCGUUGUCCGGAUUUAUUGGGCGUAAAGAGCUCGUAGGCGGUUCGUCGCGUCGGCUGUGAAAACCCGGAGCUCAACUCCGGGCCUGCAGUCGAUACGGGCGGACUCGAGUUCGGCAGGGGAGACUGGAAUUCCUGGUGUAGCGGUGAAAUGCGCAGAUAUCAGGAGGAACACCGGUGGCGAAGGCGG